AAAGACUUAGUCCUAACCUUACUGUUAAUUUUUGCUAGACAUAUACAUGCAAGUAUCCGCACCCCAGUGUAAAUGCCCUUAACGUCUACCCCAAGACAAAAGGAGCAGGUAUCAGGCACACAACCCGCAGUAGCCCAAGACACCUUGCUUAGCCACACCCCCACGGGUAUUCAGCAGUAAUAGACAUUAAGCAAUAAGUGUAAACUUGACUUAGUCAUAGCAAUCCAAGGGUUGGUAAAUCUUGUGCCAGCCACCGCGGUCACACAAGAGACCCAAACUAACGGUAACCGGCGUAAAGUGUGGUAACAUGCUAUCUAACUAACUAAGAUCAAAGUGCAACUAAGCUGUCAUAAGCCUAAGAUGCACCUAAAACCUCCCUAAAAAGGAUCUUAGCGCCCACGAUAAAUUUAAACCCACGAAAGCUAAGGCACAAACUGGGAUUAGAUACCCCACUAUGCUUAGCCCUAAAUCUUGAUACUCGCUAUACCUGAGUAUCCGCCCGAGAACUACGAGCACAAACGCUUAAAACUCUAAGGAUGGCGGUGCCCUAAA
RNAcentral lists this ribosomal RNA (552 nucleotides) under Casuarius bennetti. Its description in RNAcentral is "partial 12S ribosomal RNA". It matches the Rfam family "Bacterial small subunit ribosomal RNA", at positions 9 to 925 of the family's 1533-position model. Lineage: Eukaryota; Metazoa; Chordata; Aves; Casuariiformes; Casuariidae. The record is from RNAcentral.